Molecule: long non-coding RNA, 785 nt
Filed under: Homo sapiens (human)
Lineage: Eukaryota; Metazoa; Chordata; Mammalia; Primates; Hominidae
Description: HSALNT0386665
Source: RNAcentral
CUUGAAUCCGGGAGGCAGAGGUUGCAGUGAGCUGAGAUCGCACCACUGCACUCCAGCCUGGCGACAGAGCGAGACUCUGUCUCAAACAACAACAACAACAACAAAAAACAUGGUGGAGUGGAGAAAGUUCCAGAACAGCCUGCAUAGCAGGAAUCUCCUCAGGGCUGGGCCGUGGGAGUGCUGGCCAACGUGCCAGGCAGGGAGGACCUGAAUUCCUGAAGGUGGUGGUGGCAGCUGUUAGGGUCCACAGGUUAAUGAUCUCCAACGUCACACAGAAGAGAAUGUGCUGAGGUGUGACCUCCCUCACCCUGCCUUGGCUGCGUGGGGCACCGUCUCUCCAGGACUCACCCUGCCCCCCAAUAGACUGAAGUCUGAAGAUCAGCCCAGUCUUCCUUCAGGCCUCAAUGCCCUCUCACUUCCCCAGCCCGAGGGACUCCUGGCUCUUCUCGGAGGCUGCUCUGUGGGGUCCCUCCCUUGGGCCUUUGCUAAUGCUGUGCCCUCUGCCUGUGCCAGAGGUGGGCCUGGGCCCGUUUCUCAGGGAGCUCCUGAACACCAAGAAAUUGAAUUGCUUUGUAAAUAAACAAAAAGUGCCAAACAAGCCUGCCUGUCACUUGGGAGAUGGCCCGUCUCUGCCCCACCAAAUUUGCUAAUCAAACAAAUAACCUAAAAUAGAAUAGAAAGAACUCAUCUAGACUUUUCUUGUACCUCUGCUCCCCAAACAGCUUCUCUUUUCAGGUCUCCGGAGCAGCCCUGUUCUCUCUAGCCCAGGCCUCUGUCAAAAAUUC